AGCGAACGCUGGCGGCAGGCUUAACACAUGCAAGUCGAGCGGGCAUAGCAAUAUGUCAGCGGCAGACGGGUGAGUAACGCGUGGGAACGUACCUUUUGGUUCGGGACAACUGAGGGAAACUUCAGCUAAUACCGGAUAAGCCCUUACGGGGAAAGAUUUAUCGCCGAAAGAUCGGCCCGCGUCUGAUUAGCUAGUUGGUGAGGUAAUGGCUCACCAAGGCGACGAUCAGUAGCUGGUCUGAGAGGAUGAUCAGCCACAUCGGGACUGAGACACGGCCCAAACUCCUACGGGAGGCAGCAGUGGGGAAUAUUGGACAAUGGGCGCAAGCCUGAUCCAGCCAUGCCGCGUGAGUGAUGAAGGCCCUAGGGUUGUAAAGCUCUUUUGUGCGGGAAGAUAAUGACGGUACCGCAGGAAUAAGCCCCGGCUAACUUCGUGCCAGCCGCCGCCGUAA
Molecule: ribosomal RNA, 451 nt
Filed under: uncultured bacterium
Lineage: Bacteria
Description: partial 16S ribosomal RNA
Rfam family: Bacterial small subunit ribosomal RNA
Source: RNAcentral